Molecule: ribosomal RNA, 468 nt
Filed under: uncultured bacterium
Lineage: Bacteria
Description: partial 16S ribosomal RNA
Rfam family: Bacterial small subunit ribosomal RNA
Source: RNAcentral
GACGAACGCUGGCGGCGUGCUUAACACAUGCAAGUCGAACGGAAAGGCCCUGCUUUUGUGGGGUGCUCGAGUGGCGAACGGGUGAGUAACACGUGAGUAACCUGCUCUUGACUUUGGGAUAACUUCAGGAAACUGGGGCUAAUACCGGAUAGCAGCUCCUGCUGCAUGGAGGGGGUUGGAAAGUUUCGGCGGUUGGGGAUGGACUGGCGGCUUAUCAGUUUGUUGGUGGGGUAGUGGCUUACCAAGGCUUUGACUGGUAGCCGGCAUGGGAGGGUGACCGGGCACAUUGGUACUACGAUACGGAGCAGACGCGUACGUGGGGCAGCAGUGGGGAAUAUUGCACAAUGGGCGGAAGCCUGAGGCGGCAACGCCGCGUGCGGGAUGACGGCCUUCGGGGAGUAAAACGCUUUAGCCUGUGACGAAGCGUGAGUGACGGUAAUGAAUAAAGAAGCACCGGCUAACUACGUG